Molecule: ribosomal RNA, 1637 nt
Filed under: metagenome
Description: bacterial LSU rRNA
Rfam family: Bacterial large subunit ribosomal RNA
Source: RNAcentral
AAGAAUGCCGGUAUGAGUAGCGAAAGAGGGGUGAGAAUCCCCUCCACCGAAUGCCUAAGGUUUCCUGAGGAAGGCUCGUCCGCUCAGGGUUAGUCGGGACCUAAGCCGAGGCCGAAAGGCGUAGGCGAUGGACAACAGGUUGAUAUUCCUGUACCACCUCCUCACCAUUUGAGCAAUGGGGGGACGCAGGAGGAUAGGGUAAGCGCGGUAUUGGAUAUCCGCGUCCAAGCAGUUAGGCUGGGAAAUAGGCAAAUCCGUUUCCCAUAAGGCUGAGCUGUGAUGGCGAGCGAAAUAUAGUAGCGAAGUUCCUGAUUCCACACUGCCAAGAAAAGCCUCUAGCGAGGUGAGAGGUGCCCGUACCGCAAACCGACACAGGUAGGCGAGGAGAGAAUCCUAAGGUGAUCGAGAGAACUCUCGUUAAGGAACUCGGCAAAAUGACCCCGUAACUUCGGGAGAAGGGGUGCUCUGUUAGGGUGCAAGCCCGAGAGAGCCGCGGUGAAUAGGCCCAGGCGACUGUUUAGCAAAAACACAGGUCUCUGCGAAGCCGUAAGGCGAAGUAUAGGGGCUGACGCCUGCCCGGUGCUGGAAGGUUAAGAGGAGCGCUUAGCGUAAGCGAAGGUGCGAAUUGAAGCCCCAGUAAACGGCGGCCGUAACAAUAACGGUCCUAAGGUAGCGAAAUUCCUUGUCGGGUAAGUUCCGACCCGCACGAAAGGCGCAACGAUCUGGGCACUGUCUCAACGAGAGACUCGGUGAAAUUAUAGUACCUGUGAAGAUGCAGGUUACCCGCGACAGGACGGAAAGACCCCGUGGAGCUUUACUGCAGCCUGAUAUUGAAUGUUGGUACAGCUUGUACAGGAUAGGUAGGAGCCUUGGAAACCGGAGCGCCAGCUUCGGUGGAGGCAUCGGUGGGAUACUACCCUGGCUGUAUUGACCUUCUAACCCGCCGCCCUUAUCGGGCGGGGAGACAGUGUCAGGUGGGCAGUUUGACUGGGGCGGUCGCCUCCUAAAAGGUAACGGAGGCGCCCAAAGGUUCCCUCAGAAUGGUUGGAAAUCAUUCGCAGAGUGUAAAGGCACAAGGGAGCUUGACUGCGAGACCUACAAGUCGAGCAGGGACGAAAGUCGGGCUUAGUGAUCCGGUGGUUCCGCAUGGAAGGGCCAUCGCUCAACGGAUAAAAGCUACCCCGGGGAUAACAGGCUUAUCUCCCCCAAGAGUCCACAUCGACGGGGAGGUUUGGCACCUCGAUGUCGGCUCAUCGCAUCCUGGGGCUGUAGUCGGUCCCAAGGGUUGGGCUGUUCGCCCAUUAAAGCGGUACGCGAGCUGGGUUCAGAACGUCGUGAGACAGUUCGGUCCCUAUCCGUCGCGGGCGCAGGAAAUUUGAGAGGAGCUGUCCUUAGUACGAGAGGACCGGGAUGGACGCACCGCUGGUGUACCAGUUGUUCUGCCAAGGGCAUCGCUGGGUAGCUAUGUGCGGACGGGAUAAGUGCUGAAAGCAUCUAAGCAUGAAGCCCCCCUCAAGAUGAGAUUUCCCAUUCCGCAAGGAAGUAAGAUCCCUGAAAGAUGAUCAGGUUGAUAGGUCUGAGGUGGAAGUGUGGCGACACAUGGAGCUGACAGAUACUAAUCGAUCGAGGGCUUAAUC